Homo sapiens (human) is the source of this 5198-nucleotide RNA transcript. It is a transcript of the gene named golgi membrane protein 2, with no coding region annotated. The transcript has 10 exons. NCBI's taxonomy places the organism in Eukaryota, Metazoa, Chordata, Mammalia, Primates, Hominidae. The record is from RefSeq and is marked reviewed.
CCCGCCUCCCAACCGUGAGGUGUUGGGUUUGGGGGACGCUGGCAGCUGGGUUCUCCCGGUUCCCUUGGGCAGGUGCAGGGUCGGGUUCAAAGCCUCCGGAACGCGUUUUGGCCUGAUUUGAGGAGGGGGGCGGGGAGGGACCUGCGGCUUGCGGCCCCGCCCCCUUCUCCGGCUCGCAGCCGACCGGUAAGCCCGCCUCCUCCCUCGGCCGGCCCUGGGGCCGUGUCCGCCGGGCAACUCCAGCCGAGGCCUGGGCUUCUGCCUGCAGGUGUCUGCGGCGAGGCCCCUAGGGUACAGCCCGAUUUGGCCCCAUGGUGGGUUUCGGGGCCAACCGGCGGGCUGGCCGCCUGCCCUCUCUCGUGCUGGUGGUGCUGCUGGUGGUGAUCGUCGUCCUCGCCUUCAACUACUGGAGCAUCUCCUCCCGCCACGUCCUGCUUCAGGAGGAGGUGGCCGAGCUGCAGGGCCAGGUCCAGCGCACCGAAGUGGCCCGCGGGCGGCUGGAAAAGCGCAAUUCGGACCUCUUGCUGUUGGUGGACACGCACAAGAAACAGAUCGACCAGAAGGAGGCCGACUACGGCCGCCUCAGCAGCCGGCUGCAGGCCAGAGAGGGCCUCGGGAAGAGAUGCGAGGAUGACAAGGUUAAACUACAGAACAACAUAUCGUAUCAGAUGGCAGACAUACAUCAUUUAAAGGAGCAACUUGCUGAGCUUCGUCAGGAAUUUCUUCGACAAGAAGACCAGCUUCAGGACUAUAGGAAGAACAAUACUUACCUUGUGAAGAGGUUAGAAUAUGAAAGUUUUCAGUGUGGACAGCAGAUGAAGGAAUUGAGAGCACAGCAUGAAGAAAAUAUUAAAAAGUUAGCAGACCAGUUUUUAGAGGAACAAAAGCAAGAGACCCAAAAGAUUCAAUCAAAUGAUGGAAAGGAAUUGGAUAUAAACAAUCAAGUAGUACCUAAAAAUAUUCCAAAAGUAGCUGAGAAUGUUGCAGAUAAGAAUGAAGAACCCUCAAGCAAUCAUAUUCCACAUGGGAAAGAACAAAUCAAAAGAGGUGGUGAUGCAGGGAUGCCUGGAAUAGAAGAGAAUGACCUAGCAAAAGUUGAUGAUCUUCCCCCUGCAUCCAGGAAAAGCUUUUAGGUUUUGUGUGUGUGUGUGUGUGUGUGUGACAGAGUCUCGCUCUGUUGUCCAGGCUGAAGUAUAGUAGCGUGAUCUUGGCUCACUGCAACCUGCGCCUCCUGGGUUCAAGCAAUUCUUCUGUCUCAGCCUCCCAAGUAGCUGAGAUUACAGGCGCCUGCCACCAUGCCUGGCUAAUUUUUUGUAUUUUUAGUAGAGAUGGGGUUUCACCAUGUUGGCCAGGCUGGUCUUGAACUCCUGACCUCAGGUGAUCCACCCGCCUCGGCCUCCCAAAGUUCUGGGAUUACAGGUGUGAGCCGCAGCACCUGGCCAGGCUUUUAGUUUUUAAAUAUUAGGUAGAGGUAAUCUAUUUGUAAGAUAACAGAUUUUCUAGAACAGAGGCUUCGAAUGGUGGUUGCAUAUUGGAAUCUCUGGGGAGCUUGAAAAAAAAAAAGAUACUGAUGCCUAAAUUCCAUUCCAGAGAUUUUGUUAUAUUUGUUCUGGGGUUUGACUUGGGCAUUGAAGGUUUAAAUGGUCACUAGGUGAUUACAUUAUGUAGCUAAGGCAGAAAAACCUUUACUCUAGACAGAUUCUCUAGAUCUAUACUGUAUUAAUGCAGUAGCCAUUGGUCACAUGUGGCUAUUUACAUUUAAAUUCAUUACAUUUAGGUGAAAUUAAAUUCAGUUUCUUAGUCAAACUAGCUACACUUAAAGUGCUUACUUAGUAGUUACCUGUGGCUAAAGGCAACUGUGUUGGACAGCACCAAUGCAGAACAUUUUCAUUAUUGUAGAAAGUUCUGUUGGACAGUACUGCUCUAGAUUGAAACCAGUAAUAGUGGUUUUAUGGGGAAGAAGAUUAGGACAGGGAUGAAAAGGUGACUUGCUUUUCAUUAUAUAAUCUUCUGAACUUUUAAAUUUUUGUAUAAUACUAAUAAACUACCUAUUCAAAAAAAUCAUUAUUUAAAAAAAUUAAAGAGAGGCUAGGUGUAGUGGCUUACGCCUGUAAUCCCAACACUUUGGGAAGCCUAGGCAAGAGGAUUGCUUGAGGCCAGGAGUUCGAGGCUUGGGCAACAUAACAAGACCUCAUAUCUUAGGAAAAAAAAAAAUGGCUAGGCAUAGUGGCACACACCUGUAGUCCUAGCUACUUGGGAAGCUGAGGUGGGAGGAUCACAUGAGCCCAGGAGUUCGAGAUUGCAGUGAACUGUGAUUGCACCACUGUACUCCAGUCUGGGUGACAGAGAGAGACCCUGUCUAAACAAAAAAGAGAGAGAGAGAGAGAGAGAGGAGGCAGAGUGAGAUAACUGAAUAGAAGCCUCCACUGAUUGUCCUCCCUGCAGUAGCACCAAAUUUGACAACUGUCUACACAGAAAAGUACCUUCAUGAGAGCCAAAAAUCAGCUUUAAGGAAGCCUCCUAUUUCAGUUUCUCAACAUGAAAGUCAUCAAGCAAUCUCCCAUCUUCCAACUGGACAACCUCUCUCCCCAAAUAUGCCUCCAGAUUCACACAUAAACCACAAUGGAAACCCCGGUACUUCAAAACAGAAUCCUUCCAGUCCUCUUCAGCGUUUAAUUCCAGGCUCAAACUUGGACAGUGAACCCAGAAUUCAAACAGAUAUACUAAAGCAGGCUACCAAGGACAGAGUCAGUGAUUUCCAUAAAUUGAAGCAAAAUGAUGAAGAACGAGAGCUUCAAAUGGAUCCUGCAGACUAUGGAAAGCAACAUUUCAAUGAUGUCCUUUAAGUCCUAAAGGAAUGCUUCAGAAAACCUAAAGUGCUGUAAAAUGAAAUCAUUCUACUUUGUCCUUUCUGACUUUUGUUGUAAAGACGAAUUGUAUCAGUUGUAAAGAUACAUUGAGAUAGAAUUAAGGAAAAACUUUAAUGAAGGAAUGUACCCAUGUACAUAUGUGAACUUUUUCAUAUUGUAUUAUCAAGGUAUAGACUUUUUUGGUUAUGAUACAGUUAAGCCAAAAACAGCUAAUCUUUGCAUCUAAAGCAAACUAAUGUAUAUUUCACAUUUUAUUGAGCCGACUUAUUUCCACAAAUAGAUAAACAGGACAAAAUAGUUGUACAGGUUAUAUGUGGCAUAGCAUAACCACAGUAAGAACAGAACAGAUAUUCAGCAGAAAACUUUUUAUACUCUAAUUCUUUUUUUUUUUUUUUUUGAGACAGAGUUUUAGUCUUGUUUCCCAGGCUGGAGUGCAAUGGCACAAUCUUGGCUCACUGCAACCUCCGCCUCCUGGGUUCAGGCAAUUUUCCUGCCUCAGCCUCCCAAGUAGCUGGGAUUACAGGCACCCACCACCAUGCCCAGCUAAUUUUUGUAUUUUUAAUAGAGAGCUAAUAAUUGUAUAUUUAAUAAAGACGGGUUUCACCAUGUUGGCCAGGCUGGUCUUGAACUCCUGACCUCAGGUGAUCCUCCUGCAUUGGCCUCCCAAAGUGCUGGAAUUCCAGGCAUGAGCCACUGCGCCCAGUCUACACACUAAUUCUUGUUAGCCCAACAGCUGUUCUGUUCUAUCUACCCCUCAUUUCACGCUCAAGGAGUCAUACCUAGAAUAGUUACACACAAGAGGGAAACUGGAAGCCAAACACUGUACAGUAUUGUGUAGAAAGUCACCUCCCUACUCCUUUUAUUUUACAUGAGUGCUGAUGUGUUUUGGCAGAUGAGCUUUCAGCUGAGGCCUGAUGGAAAUUGAGAUAACCUGCAAAGACAUAACAGUAUUUAUGAGUUAUAUCUUAGUUCUUGAAAUUGUGGAAUGCAUGAUUGACAAUAUAUUUUUAAUUUUUAUUUUUUCAAGUAAUACCAGUACUGUUUAACUAUAGCCAGAACUGGCUAAAAUUUUUAUAUUUUCAGAGUUGAAGUUGGUGAAGACAUUCAUGAUUUAAACACCAGAUCCUGAAAGGGGUUAAAUCUACUUUGAAAUGAAUCUGCAAUCAGUAUUUCAAAGCUUUUCUGGUAAUUUUAGUGAUCUUAUUUGAUUAGACUUUUUCAGAAGUACUAAAUAAGGAAUUUUAACAGGUUUUUAUUAAUGCACAGAUAAAUAGAAGUACAGUGAGGUCUAUAGCCAUUUUAUUAAAAUAGCUUAAAAGUUUGUAAAAAAAUGAAUCUUUGUAAUUACUUAAUAUGUUAGUUAAGAACCCGUCAAGCUUAUAUUUGCUAGACUUACAAAUUAUUUUAAAUGCAUUUAUCUUUUUUGACACUAUUCAGUGGAAUGUGUAAGCUAGCUAAUUCUUGUUUUCUGAUUUAAAGCACUUUUAAAUCUUAUCCUGCCCCCUAAAAACAAAAGGUUUUGAUCACAAGGGGAAAUUUAAGAUUGUUAACCCUGUUUUUCAGAAGGGCUACUGUUAAUUGCACAUAAACAUGAAAUGUGUUUUCCCCUGUGUACUAACACAUUCUAGGCAAAAUUCAAACUUAUAGUGGUAAAGAAACAGGUUGUUCACUUGCUGAGGUGCAAAAAUUCUUAAGACUUCUGUUUGAAAUUGCUCAAUGACUAGGAAAAGAUGUAGUAGUUUACUAAAAUUGUUUUUCUACCAUAUCAAAUUAAACAAUUCAUGCCUUUAUAGGGUCAGGCCUACAAUGAAUAGGUAUGGUGGUUUCACAGAAUUUUAAAAUAGAGUUAAAGGGAAGUGAUGUACAUUUCGGGGGCAUUAGGGUAGGGAGAUGAAUCAAAAAAUACCCCUAGUAAUGCUUUAUAUUUUAAUACUGCAAAAGCUUUACAAAUGGAAACCAUGCAAUUACCUGCCUUAGUUCUUUUGUCAUAAAAACAAUCACUUGGUUGGUUGUAUUGUAGCUAUUACUUAUACAGCAACAUUUCUUCAAUUAGCAGUCUAGACAUUUUAUAAACAGAAAUCUUGGACCAAUUGAUAAUAUUUCUGACUGUAUUAAUAUUUUAGUGCUAUAAAAUACUAUGUGAAUCUCUUAAAAAUCUGACAUUUUACAGUCUGUAUUAGACAUACUGUUUUUAUAAUGUUUUACUUCUGCCUUAAGAUUUAGGUUUUUUAAAUGUAUUUUUGCCCUGAAUUAAGUGUUAAUUUGAUGGAAACUCUGCUUUUAAAAUCAUCAUUUACUGGGUUCUAAUAAAUUAAAAAUUAAACUUGU